This 357-nucleotide transfer-messenger RNA is filed under the name [Eubacterium] saphenum. It matches the Rfam family "transfer-messenger RNA". Rfam says of the family: Bacterial tmRNA, also known as 10Sa RNA or SsrA, is named for its dual tRNA and mRNA-like properties. Its role is to liberate the mRNA from a stalled ribosome. To accomplish this part of the tmRNA is used as a reading frame that ends in a translation stop signal. RNAcentral also lists the same sequence under 1 other name. The record is from RNAcentral. Lineage: Bacteria; Bacillati; Bacillota; Clostridia; Peptostreptococcales; Anaerovoracaceae.
GGGGAUGUAAAGGUUUCGACGGGGGUAUAGAACCCUCAUAAGCGGGCCGCAGUCGCCAAGUCUGCGUUAAAAAUGGCAACUUAAAUUUAAACGCUAAAGAUAAUAGCAAUUUAGCACUGGCUGCUUAGUUCAGCCUGCUUGUCAUCUCCGGUUCACCUGCAGGCCGGAAUCAUGGCAUCGACUCAUGCAGGAAAACUUAUCUGAACGUCCCUGAUCAGAUAAGGAACUAAGGGAUAGCGAAAUCGCCAGUCUGCUGACGGACGGACGAUCGGGCGAAACCUAAACCAUCAGCUGCGCCCGGAGAAAGUGAGGCGGAAAUGUUUUCGGACAGGAGUUCGACUCUCCUCAUCUCCACCA